CUUCACGAUCUUUUUGGGCUUGCCUUCGUGCGUUAUCUCCUCAGUCACCGUGACUUGUUCUCGUACCUCCUCAGUUUCGGUAGGUCGUUCGGGUUUCGGCUCAGGAAUCAGAUCGGUAAUUUCUUCGAACUGUAUUUCCUCGACAGGUUUUUCAGUCACAGUCGUAACUGGAGCCUUGCCCUCUUCUUCAACCGUCUCUUCCUCGGUGACCUGUUGCUUCUUGCCCUUCCUGCGAACG
This 238-nucleotide unclassified non-coding RNA is filed under the name Athalia rosae (coleseed sawfly). RNAcentral's name for it is "misc RNA ENSAEAG00005011444.1". The record is from RNAcentral. Lineage: Eukaryota; Metazoa; Arthropoda; Insecta; Hymenoptera; Athaliidae.